UUGGAUAAUUUCAUUUCUCAUUUUUAUACGGUGUUUCUGCCGUUGUUAAGUACACCAAAAAAUACCAUUUUGACACCCGCGCUUAUUUUUAGCUGUAGGUAGAUGGUAACCCUGUCGAUAAACUAUCUGAACGGUUCUAAGUCACAAUGAAGAUAUUUCUUGCAUCGAUUCUGCUGUUGGUUGCUGUAUUGUGUAUGUUACUUGGUGGCACAUACGGACAGAUGCAAGAAAUACCAUGUGAAGAGGGCUGUGAAUUUAACCAACAUUGCGAUACAUCAACAGGGGAAUGUGUUAAAGCGUCAUUGAGGAAGCUUUUCUAGAAAGAAAAAUAAAUUCGACAAUAAUUUGCUAAUUACGAAUUAAUAAUAUAUUCUGCAGCAAUAACAUUCGAUCAUUUUGUAAGUUUUGGAUUUGGAGCAUGUCAGCAUCUUCAGAGAACAGUAUUAGAACAACAUUAUCCAAACAUCC
Molecule: non-coding RNA, 468 nt
Organism: Styela clava
Lineage: Eukaryota; Metazoa; Chordata; Ascidiacea; Stolidobranchia; Styelidae
Source: RefSeq, a predicted model, not a curated record